This 595-nucleotide ribosomal RNA is filed under the name uncultured Bacteroidota bacterium. RNAcentral's name for it is "bacterial SSU rRNA". It matches the Rfam family "Bacterial small subunit ribosomal RNA", at positions 122 to 715 of the family's 1533-position model. Lineage: Bacteria; Pseudomonadati; Bacteroidota. The record is from RNAcentral.
CNACCUGCCUAUAACUAGGGAAUAACCUUGCGAAAGUAAGACUAAUACCCUAUGAUUUCCUUUGAUNNNAUCAGAUUAGGAAUAAAGAUUUAUCGGUUAUAGAUGGGGAUGCGUCUGAUUAGCUGGACGGCGGGGUAACGGCCCACCGUGGCGACGAUCGGUAGGGGUUCUGAGAGGAAGGUCCCCCACAUUGGAACUGAGACACGGUCCAAACUCCUACGGGAGGCAGCAGUGAGGAAUAUUGGUCAAUGGGCGAGUGCCUGAACCAGCCAAGUAGCGUGAGGGAAGACUGCCCUAUGGGUUGUAAACCUCUUUCGUGCGGGGAUAAAGUGAGGGACGUGUCCCUCAUUGCAGGUACCGCACGAAUAAGGACCGGCUAAUUCCGUGCCAGCAGCCGCGGUAAUACGGAAGGUCUGGGCGUUAUCCGGAUUUAUUGGGUUUAAAGGGAGCGUAGGCCGGAGAUUAAGCGUGUUGUGAAAUGUAGAUGCCCAACAUCUGAACUGCAGCGCGAACUGGUUUCCUUGAGUACGCACAAAGUGGGCGGAAUUCGUGGUGUAGCGGUGAAAUGCUUAGAUAUCACGAAGAACUCCGAUUG